RNAcentral lists this ribosomal RNA (125 nucleotides) under Diaphorina citri (Asian citrus psyllid). Lineage: Eukaryota; Metazoa; Arthropoda; Insecta; Hemiptera; Psyllidae. The record is from RNAcentral.
GCCAGCGGCGAUAGCACGUGGAAUACACCAGUUCCCAAUGGACCUGGGACGAUUAAAUUUAAGAAAAGUUACGCGUGGUUAGUGUACGGAUGGGUAACCAUCUGGCCAGUCAUGUGCUGCUGCCU